CCUCUGCAGAGCCUUCUGUCUCAAGAGCCCCAGAGGUCAGGGGGAUGGCCUCAGGGAGAGCAGAUUACAGUUUGGUACAUACCUGAGCUCGCUGUCUCCAGAGACCAACUGGUUCAGGUCCCUGACUAGGCCUGUGAGUGAGGAUGGCGCCUCUGGAGCAGGCGGUGGCUGCUAUUGCGUGCACCUUCCGGGAAUUUCCAGGGCCCUGUGGAGACAAGUAAAGCUCUGCCAGGCAGAGCUCAAGGAACUGCUAGAGAAGGAGCUGCCCACCUGGACCCCCGUGAGCACCUGGGACAGAGCUUCGGGAGCGUGACCACAAUAAGUUCAUGAGUGUCCUGGACGCCAUCAAGGAUUGCGAGGUGGACUUUGUGGAGUACACGUGCCUGCUUGCCUGCCUCUGCACCUAGUGCCAUGAGUACUUCAAGGACUGCGCCCUGGACCCCCACUGCUCCCAGUGAUGGGCAGGGCUGCCAUCGGAGGGUAGGGGUCUGGGUCUGCUCCGGACCUGCUCCAUCUCUGCCCUGAGGUCAUCCUGGGCAUGUCAGCUCUCCCCCCUCCCCCCUCCCUUGUCCCCUCCAUCUAGAAUCUCCCAGGUUUGCCCCUGGUAUGUUAACCCCUUUUACCCAUGAGUCCAGGAGACGUGAGGGGACCUUCCCCGGGAUCACAGCUAGUGACCUGUAGGACAGCCAGCCGCUGCCUCCCAACUGUGGCCCAUGAUGGACGAAGGCCGUCAAGGCCCAGCAGAGAGUGUGCGGGAAGGAGACCACGGUGGGAAAGGGCCUAUUCUGCUCCUAAU
This is an RNA transcript of Balaenoptera acutorostrata (minke whale), 796 nucleotides long. RefSeq lists it as uncharacterized. The transcript has 3 exons. Lineage: Eukaryota; Metazoa; Chordata; Mammalia; Artiodactyla; Balaenopteridae. The record is from RefSeq and is a predicted model, not a curated record.